This is a non-coding RNA of Manis javanica (Malayan pangolin), 733 nucleotides long. Lineage: Eukaryota; Metazoa; Chordata; Mammalia; Pholidota; Manidae. The record is from RefSeq and is a predicted model, not a curated record.
AGGACCCAACCUCUGACUUAAAGCUUAUAGCCUCUUGGGCGCGGAGUGGAUAAGUGGAGAGAGCAACCAGCAAGUGUAAAUUUUCUAUAAUGCUGAGAGACAAGGGCUUUGAAGAGGGAGGCCUAAGGAUCAUGGAAGCUCACAGAAGAACAUUCCCUGCCUUUUCUUUAACCAGGCUUCCUGGCCUGGUGAAGGAGCAAAUGGGCAUGAGAUGGAGCAGGAGACUCCCACCCAGCAGCCAUUCCCAAUCCCCUUCUUCUCCGACAGCUAGGGGUGGCCAUCAGCAUCACACGGUGGGAUGUGCUCCUCACUCUGUUUCCUUUGUUGGGCGAUUGUCCUUCCAGCCACCUUGCAGAAGCACGACCAAGUUCUGCUCAACAGGAAUGGGAACAGUGCGUCACUUCAGUUGGCACGGUUAGGAGCUGGUGCCUCUGCCCUCAUCCCCCAGUGCAAAGAAGAUUGGGGGCCUCAUGAUUUCAUUGGUGGAACUACAAGGAGGGCCACAGACCACAAAAAUUGUGAGCUUGGUCAUUGCCUCCUUCAGAAAGCCUCUCCUCUCUCAACCGUGGAGUGACUUCAGACGGGGCAUUUCCCUCACCGUACUGCCACUGAUCUACGCCGAUGUCCUCCUUGCUUUGGCUCUGUCAGAGCCUCUCCUUGGACAGCCACAAGUGGCUCUGUGAAGGCAAGCUCACGAAACUGCUUCUGAAAAAUAAAUGUCAAAUGAACAAGG